This 1510-nucleotide ribosomal RNA is filed under the name Klebsiella pneumoniae IS43. RNAcentral's name for it is "SSU rRNA". It matches the Rfam family "Bacterial small subunit ribosomal RNA". The record is from RNAcentral. Lineage: Bacteria; Pseudomonadati; Pseudomonadota; Gammaproteobacteria; Enterobacterales; Enterobacteriaceae.
UUAAAUUGAAGAGUUUGAUCAUGGCUCAGAUUGAACGCUGGCGGCAGGCCUAACACAUGCAAGUCGAGCGGUAGCACAGAGAGCUUGCUCUCGGGUGACGAGCGGCGGACGGGUGAGUAAUGUCUGGGAAACUGCCUGAUGGAGGGGGAUAACUACUGGAAACGGUAGCUAAUACCGCAUAAUGUCGCAAGACCAAAGUGGGGGACCUUCGGGCCUCAUGCCAUCAGAUGUGCCCAGAUGGGAUUAGCUAGUAGGUGGGGUAACGGCUCACCUAGGCGACGAUCCCUAGCUGGUCUGAGAGGAUGACCAGCCACACUGGAACUGAGACACGGUCCAGACUCCUACGGGAGGCAGCAGUGGGGAAUAUUGCACAAUGGGCGCAAGCCUGAUGCAGCCAUGCCGCGUGUGUGAAGAAGGCCUCGGGUUGUAAAGCACUUUCAGCGGGGAGGAAGGCGUUAAGGUUAAUAACCUCAUCGAUUGACGUUACCCGCAGAAGAAGCACCGGCUAACUCCGUGCCAGCAGCCGCGGUAAUACGGAGGGUGCAAGCGUUAAUCGGAAUUACUGGGCGUAAAGCGCACGCAGGCGGUCUGUCAAGUCGGAUGUGAAAUCCCCGGGCUCAACCUGGGAACUGCAUUCGAAACUGGCAGGCUAGAGUCUUGUAGAGGGGGGUAGAAUUCCAGGUGUAGCGGUGAAAUGCGUAGAGAUCUGGAGGAAUACCGGUGGCGAAGGCGGCCCCCUGGACAAAGACUGACGCUCAGGUGCGAAAGCGUGGGGAGCAAACAGGAUUAGAUACCCUGGUAGUCCACGCCGUAAACGAUGUCGAUUUGGAGGUUGUGCCCUUGAGGCGUGGCUUCCGGAGCUAACGCGUUAAAUCGACCGCCUGGGGAGUACGGCCGCAAGGUUAAAACUCAAAUGAAUUGACGGGGGCCCGCACAAGCGGUGGAGCAUGUGGUUUAAUUCGAUGCAACGCGAAGAACCUUACCUGGUCUUGACAUCCACAGAACUUUCCAGAGAUGGAUUGGUGCCUUCGGGAACUGUGAGACAGGUGCUGCAUGGCUGUCGUCAGCUCGUGUUGUGAAAUGUUGGGUUAAGUCCCGCAACGAGCGCAACCCUUAUCCUUUGUUGCCAGCGGUCCGGCCGGGAACUCAAAGGAGACUGCCAGUGAUAAACUGGAGGAAGGUGGGGAUGACGUCAAGUCAUCAUGGCCCUUACGACCAGGGCUACACACGUGCUACAAUGGCAUAUACAAAGAGAAGCGACCUCGCGAGAGCAAGCGGACCUCAUAAAGUAUGUCGUAGUCCGGAUUGGAGUCUGCAACUCGACUCCAUGAAGUCGGAAUCGCUAGUAAUCGUAGAUCAGAAUGCUACGGUGAAUACGUUCCCGGGCCUUGUACACACCGCCCGUCACACCAUGGGAGUGGGUUGCAAAAGAAGUAGGUAGCUUAACCUUCGGGAGGGCGCUUACCACUUUGUGAUUCAUGACUGGGGUGAAGUCGUAACAAGGUAACCG